AGCACGUAGGUGGGUUUGUAAGUCAGAUGUGGAAGCCUCCUGUUCAACGGGAGAAUUGCAUCUGAAACUACUGAUCUUGAGUGUAGGAGGGGAGAAUGGAACUUCUGGUGGAGCGGUGAAAUGCGUAGAUAUCAGAAGGAACGCCGGCGGCGAAAGCGACCCUCUGGCCUAUUACUGACACUCAGUGUGCGAAAGCUAGGGGAGCAAACGGGAUUAGAUACCCCGGUAGUCCUAGCUGUAAACGAUGGGCACUAAGUAGAGGGG
This 264-nucleotide ribosomal RNA is filed under the name uncultured Planctomycetota bacterium. Its description in RNAcentral is "uncultured planctomycete partial 16S ribosomal RNA". It matches the Rfam family "Bacterial small subunit ribosomal RNA", at positions 567 to 828 of the family's 1533-position model. Lineage: Bacteria; Pseudomonadati; Planctomycetota. The record is from RNAcentral.